UACGGAGGAUGCGAGCGUUAUCCGGAUUUAUUGGGUUUAAAGGGUGCGUAGGCGGUCUGAUAAGUCAGUGGUGAAAGUUUUCAGCUUAACUGGAAAAAUGCCGUUGAUACUGUCAGGCUAGAAUAUGGUUGCUGUGAGUGGAAUGUGUGGUGUAGCGGUGAAAUGCUUAGAUAUCACACAGAAUAUCGAUUGCGAAGGCAGCUCACAAAGCCAUUAUUGACGCUGAGGCACGAAAGUGUGGGGAUCAAAC
This 250-nucleotide ribosomal RNA is filed under the name uncultured bacterium. RNAcentral describes it as "partial 16S ribosomal RNA". It matches the Rfam family "Bacterial small subunit ribosomal RNA", at positions 524 to 773 of the family's 1533-position model. The record is from RNAcentral. RNAcentral also lists the same sequence under 1 other name.